This 118-nucleotide ribosomal RNA is filed under the name Heliofungia actiniformis. Its description in RNAcentral is "partial 18S ribosomal RNA". It matches the Rfam family "Eukaryotic small subunit ribosomal RNA", at positions 1710 to 1829 of the family's 1831-position model. The record is from RNAcentral. Lineage: Eukaryota; Metazoa; Cnidaria; Anthozoa; Scleractinia; Fungiidae.
CCUGAUGGCGCGAUGCCUGGCAACAGAGCGCCGGAUGCCGGAAAUUGGUCAAACUUGAUCAUUUAGAGGAAGUAAAAUCGUAACAAGGUUUCCGUAGGUGAACCNGCGGAAGGAUCAU